ACGGGUCGCGGGCUUGCCCCGCUGGGCUCAGAGAAGGGACGUCGGAGAGGGCUCCCUGCUCCUGCCCCGUCACGCGUGCCCGCAGUGUACUAGAGUCCUGGCGUUCGUGGAUGGAAAUAGAAGCCUAUGGAGUAGCUGAGGCUGAACACCUUAGGGACCAGCAACCAGAUGGUGUCGUUUGCAGUGAAGAUCGAACUCGAGUUGUAGCCGAAUUGGAGAGGAGAGAGUGACAUGUGCGCCCCCUUCCUGCGGUCGGUAGAUGCACCAUGGGAAGCUCGAGCAGGUACACGGGAACCCAUGCAACUUUCUGUGGGAACUUUGGACAUGGCAGGUCCUUAGGAAGAGCUUGUUACCAAGGCGAGAGGAGCAAACUGUUCUUUCUCUUGCGGGAACCCACUGGAGUGAAAGACACAGGGGUUAAGCACAAGAGGAGGAUCUGGGUAUGUCUCUAAUCUGUUGUUACUCUCCAGAUAUUCUUGACCCUGCACUUACUAGGGUGGGUGUAUUAGAAGGGAUGGGCAUGGCGGUUAGGAGUGGGGUCCAUCCACACGUGCUUCCAGCCCUAGAGACCAGCAGCACGAUCUGCACUCCAGCCUCCGCUUUCCCUCUGGGAAACCUACUCUUUUUUUUUUCUUUUAAUUUUUAUUUUUUUGAGAUGGAAUGUCACUCUGCUCUGUCACCCAGGCUGGAGUACAGUGGCAUGAUCUUGGCUCACUGUAACUUCUGCCUCCUAGGUUCAAUCUAUCCUCCUGCUUCACUCCCAAGUGGCUGUGAUUACAAGUAUGCACCACCACACCUGGCUAAUUUUUGUAUUUUUAGUAGAGACGGGGUUUCACCAUGUUGACCAGGCUGGUCUCGAACUCCUGAUCUCCAGUGAUCUGCCAGUCUCAGCCUCUCAAAGUGCCAGGAUUACAGGCAUGAGCCACCAGGCCUGGCCAGAAACCUACUCAUGAGACCAAAGAGUACCCACAAACCAGAGCCGUCUAGGGAUCUAUCUGAAAGCAUAGCAACACCAAGGCCCAUAUGUGUGUGAGCUGACUUCAUCUUCACAACAGUCUUGCUGUAAAGAGGCUGUUUUGUAUAUACCCAUAACAAUAACAUUAGCCACUUUAAAGUGCACAAUUCAAUAGCUCAUUGUCCCCAUUUCACAGGUGAGGAAACAGUGACUCCAAUGAAGGCAUUUGAGAUCAUCUAGCCAGUCACCCAGAGAGGCAGGAGUCUCCCCUACAGGGCAGGGGGCCAAGGGGCCUGGCCUGCAGGGCUCACUCAUGUUUGUAUUUUCAGAGCUGGGACAGAGUCCGUGCUCAGUAAAUACCGAAUGAAUAGAUGUUAGCGUAAAUGGCAAAUGAAUGUCCAUGCACCCACACUAUUGCAUUUCACCGUGGUCCCUCUCUGGGGAUAAUUUUCUUGGAUUUUGCCUCCUCCUCUAGCUCCUGAUAAGUGAUGCCCGGGCUCAGAGCAAAGCAGGCUAUAAGGGUAGCCGAGCUCACAGGGACUAGCCCUCCGUUUAGACAGACACGUGGCCAGGCGCAGUGGCUCACACUUGUAAUUCCAGAACUUUGGGAGGCCGAGGCAGGCGGAUCACCUGAGGUUGGGAGUUCGAGACCAGCCUGACAAUCAUGGAGAAACCCCAUCUCUAAUAAAAAUACAAAACUAGCUGGGUGUACUGGCACAUGCCUGUAAUCUCAGCUACUCAGAAGGCUGAGGCAGGAGAAUUGCUUGAACCUGGGAGGUAGAGGUUGCAGUGAGCCGAUAUUGUGCCACUGCACUCCAGCAUGGGCAACAAGAGCAAAACUCUAUCUCAAACAAAAAAUAAGACAGACAUGCCCCUUUCCCUGCCAUAGCCUCCAGCCAAGCUCCAUCCACCCCUGAGGCUGUAGCACCCUCCAGUGGCCCUGACAGGGGCGGAUGUGCCAUCAGCUCUGUCCUUACUAGCUGUGUGAACUUGGUCAAGUCGCUUAGCUUCUCUGGGUCUCAGUUCCUCAUUUAUAAAAUGGAACAAAUAAUAAUAAGGCUCUCAUACAUAAGAUGGGACUGACUUUUUGCAGAGUUUAGCAUGGUAGUUCUGUUCUUACACAGUGCAGCUACAGAAAAACGUCUUUCAUGAUGUCUACAUGGAGGUGCACUGUACCAGUCUCUCUAUGUCUUGGUAUUUGGACAUUUUUAUUAUGUUUUUUAAAAUAAAAGGACUCCGGCUGGGUGUGGUGGCUCAUGCCUGUAAUCCCAGCACUUUGGGAGGCUGAUGUGGGUGGAUCACCUGAGGCCAGGAGUUCAAGACCAACCUGGCCAACAUGGGGAAACUUCAUCUCUACUAAAAAUACAAAAAUUAGCCAAGUGUGGGUGGCCCAUGCUUGUAAUCCAGCUACUUGGGAGGCUGAGGCAGGAGGAUCACUUGAACCCAGGAGGCAGAGGUUGCAGUGAGCUGAGUCAGUGCCGCUGUACUGCAGCCUAGGGGACAGAGGGAGACUCCAUCUCAAAUAAAUAAAUAGGCCGGGCAUGGUGGCUCACACCUGUAAUCCUGGCACUUUGGGAGACCAAGGUGGGUGAGUCACCUGAGGUAAAGUGUUUGAGACCAGACUGGUCAACAUGGUGAAACCCCGUCUCCACUCAAGAUGCAAAAAAAUUAGCUAGGAGCAGAGGUGCACAUCUGGAAUCCCAGCUACUUGGGAGGCUGAUCUUGAACCCAGGAGACAGAAGUUACAGUAAGCCGACAUCGCACCAUUGCACCCCAGCCUGGGCAACAGAGUGAGACUCCAUCUCAAAAAAUAAUAAAUAAAUAAAUAAGGGACUCUUCAGGCAACUCGAUGAGGCAUUUCCUGAAGGAAGAUAGAUGCCCUGUUAGGGGGUUAGGGCAGGUCUGGAAGGGUCAGCGAGGAUAGCACAGAGAGCAGAGGAGAAUAGACAAUAUUUCCUCCCUGGCCGGGCACAGUGGCUCAUGCCUGUAAUCCCAGCACUUUGGGAGGCCAAGGUGGGCAGAUCAUGAGGUCAGGAGAUUGAGACCAUCCUGGCUAACAUGGUGAAACCUUAUCUCUACUAAAAGUACAAAAAUUAUCUGGACAUGGUGGCAUGUGCCUGUAGGCCCAGCUACUAAGGAGGCUGAGGCAGGAAAAUUGCUUGAACCUCGGAGGUGGAGGUUGCAGUGAGCCAAGAUUGAGCCACUGCGCUCCAGCCUGGGCAACAGAGCAAGACUCCGUCUCAAAACAAAACAACAACAAAAAGUGGAACCAGAGGUGGAAGGCCAGGGAGGCAUCCUCCACAGGGGGCCUUUUCACUGCGCUUCUCUGAUGGAAAGAUUAGAUGACUCAGUGUAGAACCCAGCACUGAACAUGGUUAGCCUGUGAGAGAGGACAGGACACAGAGCAUGGUUUCUUCUAGCCUUAUCUUCCCAGCAGCCAUUGUCUGAGAUCCCUCACCCUUGGGGUGCACUUGCAGACUCACAUCACACCCCACUUCCUACUAUGUUCUUACACCUCUUAAGGUUCCAGAUCAUGAUGAAAAUGAACAUUGGCAUAUCUUGCCCUCUUUGUCCAAGAACCAGCCCAUUCCCCACCCUCACUUUUUUUCUUUUUGAGACAGAGUCUCACUCUGUCACCAGGCUGGAGUGCAGUGUUGCGAUCUCGGCUCACUGCAACCUCUGCCUCCUGGAUUCAAGUGAUUCUCCUGCCUCAGCCUCCCAAGUAGCUGGGACUACAGGUGCACACCACCACACCCAGAUAAUUUUUGUAUUUUUAGUAGAGACAAGCUUUCACCAUAUUGGCCAGGAUGGUCUCCAUCUCUUGAUCUCGUGAUCCGCCCGCCUCGGCCUCCCAAAGUGGGGGGAUUAUAGGUGUGUGCUACCGCACCCAACCAGGGUCUUUGUUCUUGGAGGUAUAGCAGGGACACUGUUCGAUCUGAAAGGCACAGAUCUAAACAUCUCUCCCUCAUCCACCUCUGCCUUCAAACAUCUCCCCUGCUGCCCUGUCCCACAAUCUUAAAUUUCAUCGUUCACCUUCCUUUGGGUAUUAUCUCUGAAAGCUCCUGUUAACAAGUAGAUGGGCUAGCACACUUUGGGGUGGAUAGCGCCCCUGCCGCAAUACCCUGGAUUGCUUCCAGAUACAGACAUGUGCUGGAUUUAUGCGGCUACGUGGCAUCCUUCCCGCCUCCUUUCCAGGGGGUUUUCCCUACUGUAGGAAUCUCAGACAAUGGGGUACACAUAGAACUAUGCUGGAGCACUGCUCACAAGCCCAACAGCAUCAACUUUUAAAUUAUCAGGAAUUGUUUGAGCGGGCUGUUAAAUGGUUGGCAAAUAAAAAUAAGUGACAGUGAGAAUGUCUUCACCAUGGAAGUCAGCAAAUGCUACAACUCAGGGCUUUCCCCACUCGUGAGCAAGCUGUUAAAUGUUUCCCAGCCCAACCACCACGCACGGCACCCGGGUUUAGCCGCCUGAUCCUCCUUCUGAGGCCUUGACUCUCAGGCCAGUGACCCAAGACACAGGAACAAGACAGAAUCCAUGUACUGCAGGAGCAUCUGGCCAUGGCGGGGUGGGGGAGAUGUAAUGGGGGAGGUGGCAGUGCCCAAGGGUGUCAGAGUCAGCCGCCCCUCCCUGGCAUGACUUUGGCUGGGUCUUCCUCUUGCCUGCCUGCCUUCAUUUCCUGCCCAAUUUCCAAGCCUUCUUCUCCUGCCUUCCCAUCCAUUUCAAGAGCUUCCCUUUUCUGCUAUGUUAACCAUAGUCACCUAUAUGAAGCUGAGGAGUCUGGUUCAUAUAGGUGACUAAUCAUUUGACAGACAGAGGUGCCUGACAAAAGCAAAGAAGCUCUCAUUUUGAUUCCUCAAGAAGGGUGGCUGCUUGGAGCAGAGCAGCCUCGGCUUAAUUACUUAGCAAACAUUUAUGGAGCACCUACUGUGUGCAGGCACUGCCCUAGUGCCAGGACAGGAAAGGGUCAGGUACAUUUUUGUCCCCAAGGAACUUACCACCUAGCUAAUGGAAGCAGCUCUCAAACAACUAAUAAUGCAAUGAAUUUUUCUGUGCACUGCUCCAUCGUCAUUGAGUUAUACCACAUUACUGAUACAUAUUUGAAUCCUGCAGUGGGUAAAGCACCACGUAACGUACAAAGGAGCAUACCGAAAAAGAUGAAACAAUCUGUCCCUCCCUCUCGAGUUCACAGUUUAGCUGACAACACAGGUACAUGCUCGUGCUGCUGAGUAACUUUCCAGCACAGGUUUCCACUUGUCAGGAGCACGGGGAGCUGUAGCUUCCAAUUUUGGGGAUCAGGAAAGGCUUAUGUGAAGAACGUGAGAUUUGAGCACAGCCUGGACUGUGAUUAACAACAAGAAAAAAAAAGUGCAACAGUGUAGAAAACAUACCUGUAAAAUUAGCCACCUGAAAUUCUACUGCCCAAAGGUGACCGCGGUUAACACAGCCGUAGGCUCCCUUCUGCAUAGCUGCGGGAUCCUGUGGGCACACGCUUGUAUAACCAGCUGUUUUUACUCAACAAUACAGCAUGGACACUUUUCCAUGCCAAUUAUUCCCAAUCUGCAUCGCCAUUUAAGCGGCCAGAGAAUAUUCCAUUAUACGGAUGUACUCUAAAUUAAUCAAAUCCCCAUCGAUAAACAUUUAGUGUUGCGGUCAAGGGCUCAGACUCUGGAUCCUCAGAGCGUAGCAUCAGUCCUGGCUCUGCCAUUCCCGGCUGAGUGAUGGUCAGCAGAAUCCUGGCCUCUCUGAGUAGGCUCCUGCUCUAUUAAGUGGAGGUGCAGUUGUCCCUCGGUAUUAACGGGAAUUGGUUCCAGGAGUCCCAUACCAAAACCCACAGAUGUUCAAGUCCCUUGUAUAAAAUGGUGUGAUAUUUGUAUAUAACCUGCACAUGUCCUACUGUAUA
Molecule: non-coding RNA, 5855 nt
Organism: Callithrix jacchus (white-tufted-ear marmoset)
Lineage: Eukaryota; Metazoa; Chordata; Mammalia; Primates; Cebidae
Source: RefSeq, a predicted model, not a curated record